UCGCCAAGCAGGCCUUGUUUACGCUGAACGGCUCACCGGGAAACUGAACUCUCCACUUCCCACCUGGUUUCCCCACCCCCUUUCCCAGCCAGACUUGCUCUUGUUAAGAGCGAGCCCAUUUAACAGCGGCCUUAGGUACAAAGGGCCUUUAGAAGGCAACAGCUGGCACGAGUCCUGGAGAUCUGAAGGGAGGAGCCUAGCGGGAUCAAACAAGCCAUGGAAGCCCUGUCACAUGCACUGAUAUUUGGGGCAGCCGAACAGCUCACUCCACCUCAGAUUAAACCUGCCCUGGAUCCCAUCCAAGCCAACGAUUUCCUCCUCACGCGCAACACUUCCUAUCUUAGCUGAAUGCAGCCCGGCCACCAGCUCUGAUUUCUUCUGAUCACCAGCUGCCAGCCCUCGCUGGGGGCACAGCUCUUCUGCCUGCUCCCGGGGGGGAGGGGCUCCGCAACCUCCUUUGCUCUGCCUGCCUUUUCUGUGCCUCUCCUCAGCUUGUACCUUCCUUUGUUCUAGCUCCCUUCCCCACAUUA
Long non-coding RNA from Chrysemys picta bellii (western painted turtle), 530 nucleotides. RefSeq lists it as uncharacterized. NCBI's taxonomy places the organism in Eukaryota, Metazoa, Chordata, Testudines, Emydidae. The record is from RefSeq and is a predicted model, not a curated record.